CCUACGGGUGGCAGCAGUGAGGAAUAUUGGUCAAUGGGCGGAAGCCUGAACCAGCCAUGCCGCGUGCAGGAAGAAUGUCUUAUGGAUUGUAAACUGCUUUUAUUUGGGAAUAAACCUCAAUACGUGUAUUGAGCUGAAGGUACCAAAUGAAUAAGCACCGGCUAACUCCGUGCCAGCAGCCGCGGUAAUACGGAGGGUGCAAGCGUUAUCCGGAAUCAUUGGGUUUAAAGGGUCCGCAGGCGGGCGUAUAAGUCAGUGGUGAAAGCCUACAGCUUAACUGUAGAACUGCCAUUGAUACUGUAUGCCUUGAAUUCGAUCGAAGUGGGCGGAAUGUGUAGUGUAGCGGUGAAAUGCAUAGAUAUUACACAGAACACCGAUAGCGAAGGCAGCUCACUAGGUCUGAAUUGACGCUCAUGGACGAAAGCGUGGGGAGCAAACAGGAUUAGAUACCCUAGUAGUC
RNAcentral lists this ribosomal RNA (460 nucleotides) under uncultured Pseudomonadota bacterium. Its description in RNAcentral is "bacterial SSU rRNA". It matches the Rfam family "Bacterial small subunit ribosomal RNA", at positions 338 to 795 of the family's 1533-position model. The record is from RNAcentral. Lineage: Bacteria; Pseudomonadati; Pseudomonadota.